Molecule: long non-coding RNA, 1175 nt
Organism: Brassica napus (rape)
Lineage: Eukaryota; Viridiplantae; Streptophyta; Magnoliopsida; Brassicales; Brassicaceae
Exons: 3
Source: RefSeq, a predicted model, not a curated record
AUUAUUUUGAUUAGGAAAAUAGAGAAAAACUUUACCACGGAGCAAAAUAGAAAGAGGAAAAAGGUGAGGAGCGUGGCAACUGGCAAGAUUCCCCGUACGUGUGUUCUUCCUCCCCUGUCGCAGAGACGACGCACCGAUCGUUGUUCCGGUGAGCUUUUUGUUUCCACCGUCGUGUAUUGAAUCUACAGUUCACCAGAAUAUAUAAAGUUUGGAUUUUUAUUCGUAUAUGAAUGAUUGAUCAAUCUCCUUUAAAAGGUUUGAUCUUUGAUUGUGAGAAUCUAGAAUCUAGGGUUUCUGGUCAAGGACGUGAGUGUUGGAAUCUAUCUGAUAAAAGGAAUAGUUUUUGGUGGGAGAGAGAGAUUAUGGGUUCAGUUUGUUGUGUAGCUGUGAAAGACAGAAAGCUUCCUCCUCCUUGUAAUAGUAGUGGACUGGACUCCACAAUUGAUCUCAAAUUUGAUGGUCACACAUUGUUCAGAUUCAUCCUUUCUGCAUUCAACCUUUAGCCACUGGCUCCCAUUAUCCUUCUUCUGAGGGUGACUGGUCCUUUAACACUUUCUCUGAGCCCGUGGCCUUUUCUCAAAGGGAGAGAUGGUCCUUUGAUAGCCAACACUUUGGUGGUUCUAGCAGCGUAGUGGUGGCAGCAGCAGAUUCUCCUUGUCAAAGCAUUACAAAAGAUGUAAACACCGUGUGGUGGUGGAUAGUGAGUGCAAUGUUCCAGAAGAUGGAACCUAGUUGCAGUAGCAAAGCCCCGUCUAAGUCAUUCUUGAUAUGGCGUUCCAUCAGCUCCAAAUGGAGUAAACCCUCGUCCAAAGACUCUGUAUCGAAGAAAAGGUUUUGGUCUAGACAUCGUUACAACCGUUCUUCAUCAAGCAUAGAGGGACUUAACCAGACAUCUCAGCUUUGAUGAAACAUCAAGUGGAUUAUUUAGGAAAAAUAUAGAUAUUAAGCUUUCAGUGUAAACAGAAGUUAUCAUUGUAGAGAGGUUACAGGGCUUCUCUAUGAAGUUCUGUAAUCUCCAUGACCUGCAAGAGCAUGUGAUGUUUCUCUGAUGCAGAUGAUCUCCAUGUUUACAACUGAAACCUUCCCACAUGAACAGGAGAUGAGAACCAAAUAAACAUGUGUAUGUUCACGCUUGAAAAGUAUUUUGUUUAUACACAAAUAAAAACAUUACAAUA